This 895-nucleotide ribosomal RNA is filed under the name uncultured archaeon. Its description in RNAcentral is "bacterial SSU rRNA". It matches the Rfam family "Archaeal small subunit ribosomal RNA", at positions 27 to 907 of the family's 1478-position model. The record is from RNAcentral.
CUGCUAUUUGGGUGAGGAUAAGCCAUGCGAGUUGAAUGGGAUACAUAAAUUUCCCAUAGCAAACUGCUUAGUAACACAUGAUCAACUUACCCUAUGGAGAAAAAUAACCUCGGGAAACUGAGGAUAAUGUUUCAUAGUUGAAUAGGCUUGGAAAAGUUUUUCAAUGAAAGGAAUAAGAUAAAUGGUUCUUAUUUGCCAUAGGAUAGGAUCGUGGUCGAUUAUGGUAGUUGGUGAGGUAAUGGCUCACCAAGCCGAUAAUCGAUAGGGGCCGUGAGAGCGGGAGCCCCAAGAUGGGUACUGAGACAGCGACCCAGGCCUUACGAGGCGCAGCAGGCGCGGAACCUCCGCAAUACACGAAAGUGUGACGGGGUUACCCAAAGUGUUCUCUUUAGAACUGUGGUAGGUGAGUAAUGUCCCCUAUUAGAAAGGAGAGGGCAAGGCUGGUGCCAGCCGCCGCGGUAAAACCAGCUCUUCAAGUGGUCGGGAUAAUUAUUGGGCUUAAAGUGUCCGUAGCCGGUUUAGUUAGUUCCUGGUAAAAUCGGGUAGCUUAACUAUCUGCAUGCUAGGAAUACUGCUAUACUAGAGGGCGGGAGAAGUCUGAGGUACUACAGGGGUAGGGGUGAAAUCUUAUAAUCCUUGUAGGACCACCAGUGGCGAAGGCGUCAGACUGGAACGCGCCUGACGGUGAGGGACGAAAGCCAGGGGAGCGAACCGGAUUAGAUACCCGGGUAGUCCUGGCCGUAAACGAUGCAUACUAGGUGAUGGUACGGCCAUGAGCCGUAUCAGUGCCGUAGGGAAACCGUUAAGUGUGCCGCCUGGGAAGUACGGUCGCAAGGCUAAAACUUAAAGGAAUUGGCGGGGGAGCACCACAAGGGGUGAAGCCUGCGGUUCAAUU